This 414-nucleotide ribosomal RNA is filed under the name uncultured microorganism. RNAcentral's name for it is "bacterial SSU rRNA". It matches the Rfam family "Archaeal small subunit ribosomal RNA", at positions 459 to 872 of the family's 1478-position model. The record is from RNAcentral.
CAGCCGCCGCGGUAAUACCGGCGGCCCGAGUGGCGGCCACUAUUAUUGGGCCUAAAGCGUCCGUAGCCGGGCUGGUAAGUCCUCCGGGAAAUCUGGUCGCUUAACGAUCAGACUUCCGGAGGAUACUGCUGGCCUAGGGACCGGGAGAGGCCGAGGGUAUUCCCGGGGUAGGGGUGAAAUCCUGUAAUCCCGGGAGGACCACCUGUGGCGAAGGCGCUCGGCUGGAACGGGUCCGACGGUGAGGGACGAAGGCCAGGGGAGCGAACCGGAUUAGAUACCCGGGUAGUCCUGGCUGUAAACGAUGCGGACUAGGUGUCGGGCAAGCUAAGGGCUUGUCCGGUGCCGGAGGGAAACCGUUAAGUCCGCCGCCUGGGGAGUACGGCCGCAAGGCUGAAACUUAAAGGAAUUGGCGGG